AUCGGGUAGUAGGUAAGCGAUGGGGUGACGCAGGAAGGUAGUCCAGCCCAGGCGAUGGUUGUCCUGGGGUAAGCAUGUAGGGCGGAACGUAGGUAAAUCCGCGUUCUAUUCAGCCUGAGAUGUGAUGCCGAGCCGAUUGUGGUGAAGUGGAUGAUCCUAUGCUGCCGAGAAAAGCCUCUAGUGAGUGUUGUGGCGGCCCGUACCCUAAACCGACUCAGGUGGUCAGGUAGAGAAUACCAAGGCGAUCGGGUGAACUGUGGUUAAGGAACUCGGCAAAUUGCCCCCGUAACUUCGGGAGAAGGGGGACCUCUGCUGGUGAUGGGCUUUACGUUCUGAGCUGGUGGGGGUCGCAGUGGCCAGGGGGAAGCGACUGUUUACUAAAAACACAGGUCCGUGCGAAGUCGUAAGACGAUGUAUACGGACUGACGCCUGCCCGGUGCCGGAACGUUAAGGGGACCGCUUAGCCAACGCGAGUUGGCGAAGGUGAGAACUUAAGCGCCGGUAAACGGCGGUGGUAACUAUAACCAUCCUAAGGUAGCGAAAUUCCUUGUCGGGUAAGUUCCGACCUGCACGAAUGGCGUAACGACUUCCCCGCCGUCUCAACCACAGACCCGGCGAAAUUGCACUACGAGUAAAGAUGCUCGUUUCGCGCAGCAGGACGGAAAGACCCCGGGACCUUCACUACAGCUUGACAUUGGCGUUUGGAACGUCUUGUGUAGGAUAGGUGGGAGACUGGGAAGCUGUCACGCUAGUGAUGGUGGAGUCAUUGGUGAAAUACCACUCUGGUCGUUUUGAACGUCUAACUCUGGUCCGUGAUCCGGAUCGGGGACAGUGUCUGGUGGGUAGUUUAACUGGGGCGGUUGCCUCCUAAAGAGUAACGGAGGCGCCCAAAGGUUCCCUCAGCCUGGUUGGCAAUCAGGUGUUGAGUGUAAGUGCACAAGGGAGCUUGACUGUGAGACUGACAGGUCGAGCAGGAGCGAAAGCUGGGACUAGUGAUCCGGCAUCGGCGUGUGGAAGCGGUGUCGCUCAACGGCUAAAAGGUACCCCGGGGAUAACAGGCUGAUCUUCCCCAAGAGUCCAUAUCGACGGGAUGGUUUGGCACCUCGAUGUCGGCUCGUCGCAUCCUGGGGCUGGAGUAGGUCCCAAGGGUUGGGCUGUUCGCCCAUUAAAGCGGUACGCGAGCUGGGUUUAGAACGUCGCGAGACAGUUCGGUCCCUAUCCGCUGCGCGCGCAGGAGACUUGAAGGGGGCUGUCCCUAGUACGAGAGGACCGGGACGGACGAACCUCUGGUGUGCCAGUUGUACCGCCAGGUGCACGGCUGGUUGGCUACGUUCGGAAGGGAUAACCGCUGAAAGCAUCUAAGCGGGAAGCUCGCCUUGAGAUGAGGUCUCCCACCCCGUGAGGGGGUAAGGCUCCCGGUAGAUCACCGGGUUGAUAGGCCGGAGGUGGAAGCACGGUAACGUGUGGAGCUGACCGGUACUAAUGGGCCGAGGACUUGACC
This 1501-nucleotide ribosomal RNA is filed under the name metagenome. Its description in RNAcentral is "bacterial LSU rRNA". It matches the Rfam family "Bacterial large subunit ribosomal RNA", at positions 1452 to 2925 of the family's 2925-position model. The record is from RNAcentral.